This 65-nucleotide transfer RNA is filed under the name Urocitellus parryii (Arctic ground squirrel). Its description in RNAcentral is "Spermophilus parryii (Arctic ground squirrel) tRNA". It matches the Rfam family "tRNA". Rfam says of the family: Transfer RNA (tRNA) molecules are approximately 80 nucleotides in length. Their secondary structure includes four short double-helical elements and three loops (D, anti-codon, and T loops). RNAcentral also lists the same sequence under 2 other names. Lineage: Eukaryota; Metazoa; Chordata; Mammalia; Rodentia; Sciuridae. The record is from Rfam by way of RNAcentral.
AGUAUAGCUCAAUGGUAGGUUAUGUGCUUUGCAUGCACAGGGUCCUGGGUUCAAUCCCCAGCACU